This 499-nucleotide ribosomal RNA is filed under the name uncultured bacterium. Its description in RNAcentral is "bacterial SSU rRNA". It matches the Rfam family "Bacterial small subunit ribosomal RNA", at positions 29 to 518 of the family's 1533-position model. The record is from RNAcentral.
AGUGAACGCUGGCGGCAGGCCUAAUACAUGCAAGUCGAACGGCAGCACAGUGGAGCUUGCUCCAUGGGUGGCGAGUGGCGGACGGGUGAGGAAUACAUGGGAAUCUGCCCAGUCGUGGGGGAUAACGUAGGGAAACUUACGCUAAUACCGCAUGCGCCCUUCGGGGGAAAGCCGGGGACCGUAAGGCCUGGCGCGAUUGGAUGAGCCCAUGUCGGAUUAGCUAGUUGGCGGGGUAACGGCCCACCAAGGCGACGAUCCGUAGCUGGUCUGAGAGGAUGAUCAGCCACACUGGAACUGAGACACGGUCCAGACUCCUACGGGAGGCAGCAGUAGGGAAUAUUGGACAAUGGGCGCAAGCCUGAUCCAGCCAUGCCGCGUGAGUGAAGAAGGCCCUCGGGUUGUAAAGCUCUUUUGUCCGGAAAGAAAGCACUGGGUUAAUACCCCGGUGUCCUGACGGUACCGGAGAAUAAGCACCGGCUAACUUCGUGCCAGCAGCCGC